Molecule: ribosomal RNA, 503 nt
Filed under: uncultured bacterium
Lineage: Bacteria
Description: partial 16S ribosomal RNA
Rfam family: Bacterial small subunit ribosomal RNA
Source: RNAcentral
AUUGAACGCUGGCGGCAGGCUUAACACAUGCAAGUCGAGCGGAGUGAUGGUGCUUGCACUAUCACUUAGCGGCGGACGGGUGAGUAAUGCUUAGGAAUCUGCCUAUUAGUGGGGGACAACAUCUCGAAAGGGAUGCUAAUACCGCAUACGUCCUACGGGAGAAAGCAGGGGAUCACUUGUGACCUUGCGCUAAUAGAUGAGCCUAAGUCGGAUUAGCUAGUUGGUGGGGUAAAGGCCUACCAAGGCGACGAUCUGUAGCGGGUCUGAGAGGAUGAUCCGCCACACUGGGACUGAGACACGGGCCAGACUCCUACGGGAGGUAGCAGUGGGGAAUAUUGGACAAUGGGGGGAACCCUGAUCCAGCCAUGCCGCGUGUGUGAAGAAGGCCUUAUGGUUGUAAAGCACUUUAAGCGAGGAGGAGGCUUACCUAGUUAAUACCUGGGAUAAGUGGACGUUACUCGCAGAAUAAGCACCGGCUAACUCUGUGCCAGCAGCCGCUGUAA